Molecule: ribosomal RNA, 569 nt
Filed under: uncultured bacterium
Lineage: Bacteria
Description: partial 16S ribosomal RNA
Rfam family: Bacterial small subunit ribosomal RNA
Source: RNAcentral
CAAGGAAUUUUCGGCAAUGGGCGCAAGCCUGACCGAGCAACGCCGCGUGCGGGAUGACGGCCUUCGGGUUGUAAACCGCUUUUCUCGGGGAAGAAUCGGACGGUACCCGAGGAAUCAGCCCCGGCUAACUCUGUGCCAGCAGCCGCGGUAAGACAGAGGGGGCAAGCGUUGUCCGGAUUGACUGGGCGUAAAGCGCACGUAGGUGGUUGGUUGCGUGGUGUGUGAAAGCUCAGGGCUUAACCCUGAUAGGCCAUGCCAAACGGACCGACUCGAGGCUGAGCAGAGGCGGGUGGAAUUGCCGGUGUAGUGGUGAAAUGCGUAGAGAUCGGCAGGAACACCAAGGGGGAACCCAGCCCGCUGGGCCAGACCUGACACUGAGGUGCGACAGCGUGGGGAGCGAACGGGAUUAGAUACCCCGGUAGUCCACGCCGUAAAACGAUGGAUGCUCGCCUUGUGGUGCUUAUCCAUAGCACUGGGAGGCUUAGCUCACGCGGUAAGCAUCCCGCCUGGGAACUACGAGCGCAAGCUUAAAAACUUAAAUGAAUUGACGGGGUCAUAGCUGUUUCCUG